Molecule: long non-coding RNA, 1009 nt
Organism: Pelmatolapia mariae (spotted tilapia)
Lineage: Eukaryota; Metazoa; Chordata; Actinopteri; Cichliformes; Cichlidae
Exons: 4
Source: RefSeq, a predicted model, not a curated record
UAUUAGAACUCAAUUUAAAUAACUUACCAGUACUUUUUAUGCAAAAACGCUGAUAAACUCGAUUAAUUUGAGUUGUCCUAACUUAGAAAAACUAAGUAAGCUGGAAGUUUUGCUUCUCUGGGCGGAAGGAUGAAAGAUGUGUUUUGAAAAUGCCACGUGACUACCGUCCUCCUCCCUCGCGGAUCAGUCCGCAUGUUCACGGUGCCAGCAUUUGUUAUGGAAUAUGUUGAGCAAACCUGGAGAAGCGUCAGCUCAAGAGACUAUUGUUGUCAUUACUGUGGAUCUUUACCUGAUACACUGACUUGGCUCGGGACCAGCACUCCUGCUGUUGGACAGAAAGACAUCAACUCAGUGACUUGAGAUAUGACUGCACUAUGCUGUUGCUGGUGACUCCAGUUAAUUCUACAAGACAUGCUGUGAAAACAGGAGAGAUGAGUCCUCCGUCACAGAUGGUGUGGUCAGUGAAGAUGGUCGCCUGCAGGUUCAUGCUCAUUGCAUCUCCAACCCACAUCCACUGCCACUGUACUUAAGGGAAGUUAAAGACUUUCUUCUGCACCUACAUUUGGAUCACCUCGAUCCAUGACAGUCAUUCAGGCAGUAAUGCCUGGACUGGAAACAAGCAUCCUUAAAAUAAUACAACAUUCCAGCUCAUGUGUUGGAAUGAAAAACAAAUGUGUUGUUUAAAUUAGAGACUGCACUUGUGACAGAACAACAAAUAUUUUAUUUUGAUUAUAUAAGUAAUGUAAGUACAAAACAAACUUGUGGUAGGCCUAAACUUAUUUUCAGAAUAAUUACAUCUGAGACUUUGUUUCAUUGUAAGAUUAUAACAGUGAUGGCAAUAUAAUUGUUUGUUGUUCAGCAGAACAGUGUCCAGUAUGUUGGCUGUUGUACUUUGUUGUGUUUGAAAAUAAAAGUUGUGCUCAUUUUAACAUCAUUACAAAAAUUGUUGUUAAUUAUUUUUAAUCAUAUUCAUGGUACCACAAAUUGUUUUUUCAUUUAGUUGAACUUG